This 460-nucleotide ribosomal RNA is filed under the name uncultured bacterium. RNAcentral describes it as "partial 16S ribosomal RNA". It matches the Rfam family "Bacterial small subunit ribosomal RNA", at positions 338 to 795 of the family's 1533-position model. The record is from RNAcentral.
CCUACGGGAGGCUGCAGUGAGGAAUAUUGGUCAAUGGACGAGAGUCUGAACCAGCCAAGUAGCGUGCAGGAUGACUGCCCUAUGGGUUGUAAACUUCUUUUAUAAAGGAAUAACGCGCGUCACGUGUACCUUUUUGCAUGUACUUUAUGAAUAAGGACCGGCUAACUCCGUGCCAGCAGCCGCGGUAAUACGGAGGAUCCGAGCGUUAUCCGGCUUUAUUGGGUUUAAAGGGAGCGUAGUUGGGUGGUUAAGCCAGCUGUGAAAGGUUGGGGCUCAACCUUGAAAUUGCAAUUGAUACUGGCAGGCUUGAGUACAGGUGAGGCAGGCGGAAUUCGUGGUGUAGCGGUGAAAUGCUUAGAUAUGACGAAGAACCCCGAUUGCGAAGGCAGCUUACUACAGCGGAACUGACACUGAUGCUCGAAAGUGCGGGUAUCAAACAGGAUUAGAUACCCCGGUAGUC